GACGAACGCUGGCGGCAUGCCUAAUACAUGCAAGUCGAGCGAACAGAUGAAGUGCUUGCACUUCUGACGUUAGCGGCGAACGGGUGAGUAACACGUAAGUGAUCUACCUAUAAGAGGGGGAUAACAUUCGGAAACUGGUGCUAAUACCGCAUAAUAUCUUCUUACGCAUGGGAGAAGAUUGAAAGACGGCUCUGCUGUCACUUAUAGAUGACCUUGCGGUGCAUUAGUUAGUUGGUGGGGUAACGGCCUACCAAGACGAUGAUGCAUGGCCGACCUGGGAGGGUGAUGGGCCACAUUGGGACCGAGGCACGGCCCAAACUCCUACGGGAGGCAGCAGUAGGGAAUCGUCCGCAAUGGGCGAAAGCCUGACGGAGCAAUGCCGCGUGAGUGAAGAAGGCCUUCGGGUCGUAAAACUCUGUUAUAAGAGAAGAACAAAUUGUAGAGUAACUGCUACAGUCUUGACGGUAUCUUAUCAGAAAGCCACGGCUAACUACGUGCCAGCCGCCGCAGUAA
RNAcentral lists this ribosomal RNA (513 nucleotides) under uncultured bacterium. RNAcentral describes it as "partial 16S ribosomal RNA". It matches the Rfam family "Bacterial small subunit ribosomal RNA", at positions 28 to 523 of the family's 1533-position model. The record is from RNAcentral.